This 203-nucleotide ribosomal RNA is filed under the name uncultured bacterium. RNAcentral's name for it is "partial 16S ribosomal RNA". It matches the Rfam family "Bacterial small subunit ribosomal RNA", at positions 524 to 725 of the family's 1533-position model. The record is from RNAcentral.
UACAGAGGUCCCGAGCGUUGUUCGGAAUCACUGGGCGUAAAGCGCACGCAGGCGGAUUGAUAAGUCAGGGGUGAAAUCCCGGAGCUCAACUUCGGAAUUGCCUUUGAUACUGUCUAUCUUCGAGUUCGGGAGAGGUUGGCGGAAUUCCUAGUGUAGAGGUGAAAUUCGUAGAUAUUAGGAAGAACACCAGUGGCGAAGGCGGC